This 375-nucleotide ribosomal RNA is filed under the name uncultured eukaryote. Its description in RNAcentral is "partial 18S ribosomal RNA". It matches the Rfam family "Eukaryotic small subunit ribosomal RNA", at positions 592 to 976 of the family's 1831-position model. The record is from RNAcentral.
CAAUAGCGUAUAUUAAAGUUGUUGCAGUUAAAAAGCUCGUAGUCGAAUUUUGGGCCUGUUUGGCUGGUCGUCCGAAAGGAUUGUACUGGUUGGGCGGGUCUUCCUUCUGGGGACCGCGUGUUCUUUAUUGAGUGCGUUGGAUAACCAGGACUUUUACUUUGAAAAAAUUAGAGUGUUUAAGGCAGGCUUAAGCUUGAAUACAUUAGCAUGGAAUAAUGGAAUAGGACUUUGGUUCUAUUUUGUUGGUUUCUAGGACCAAAGUAAUGAUGAAUAGGGACAGUUGGGGGCAUUAGUAUUGAGCUGUCAGAGGUGAAAUUCUUGGAUUUGCUCAAGACUAACAACUGCGAAAGCAUUUGCCAAGGAUGUUUUCAUUGA